This 407-nucleotide ribosomal RNA is filed under the name uncultured bacterium. Its description in RNAcentral is "partial 16S ribosomal RNA". It matches the Rfam family "Bacterial small subunit ribosomal RNA", at positions 28 to 526 of the family's 1533-position model. The record is from RNAcentral.
GACGAACGCUGGCGGCGUGCCUAAUACAUGCAAGUAGGACGGAGUUGCGAACGGGUGAGUAACGCGUAGGUAACUGCCUAUUAGAGGGGGAUAACUAUUGGAAACGAUAGCUAAUACCGCAUACUAGUAGAUGGAGCUGCGUUGUAUUUGCGAGUAGGUAGGGUAAUGGCCUACCUAGGCGACGAUACAGAGCCGACCUGGGAGGGUGAUCCGCCACCCUGGGACUUAGACACGGCCCAGACUCCCUCUGGGGGCAGCAGUAGGGAAUCUUCGGCAAUGGGGGGAACCCUGACCGAGCACCUCCGCGUGGUUUAAGAAGGUUUUCGGAUCUUAAAGCUCUGUUCUUAAGGAAGCGGUACUUAACCAGAAAGGGACGGCUAACUACGUGCCAGCCGCCGCGGUAAUAC